UGGGCAAUGGUUAGAGGUUCCCACCCCC
RNAcentral lists this non-coding RNA (28 nucleotides) under Rattus norvegicus (Norway rat). Lineage: Eukaryota; Metazoa; Chordata; Mammalia; Rodentia; Muridae. The record is from RNAcentral.